CACAUGAUUCUCGGCAACGGAUAUCUCGGCUCUCGUAUCGAUGAAGAACGUAGCAAAAUGCGGUACCUGAUGUGAAUUGCAGAUUCCCGCGAACCAUCGAGUUUUUGAAUGCAAGUUGCGCCCGAGACCAUCUGGUUGAGGGCACGUCUGCCUGGGCAUCACGC
Molecule: ribosomal RNA, 164 nt
Filed under: Hordeum roshevitzii
Lineage: Eukaryota; Viridiplantae; Streptophyta; Magnoliopsida; Poales; Poaceae
Description: 5.8S ribosomal RNA
Rfam family: 5.8S ribosomal RNA
About the family: 5.8S ribosomal RNA (5.8S rRNA) is a component of the large subunit of the eukaryotic ribosome.
Source: RNAcentral